Molecule: long non-coding RNA, 357 nt
Filed under: Nicotiana benthamiana
Lineage: Eukaryota; Viridiplantae; Streptophyta; Magnoliopsida; Solanales; Solanaceae
Description: long non-coding RNA (NBEN_LNC018004)
Source: RNAcentral
AAGCACCUUCAGUAGAAAAGAAAUAGCAGUAGCACUUGGAGAUAACAGGAAACAAACAUUUAACUUUGUGGGAUGUAAAACUAAAACUUGAAGAAUAAUAUUCUUCUUCCCAAACAUCAUUGUUUCACUAAUACUCCAUCGAUCUAAAUUAAAAACUCUGAGUAAUACGAAUCACAUAUGCAUGCACUUGAUUGUUUAUGCAAAUUAAAUACAGUGUGCCUCUUAAGUUUCCUUUCCAACUUGUUGUUUGAUUGUUGUGUUGAACGCAUAGAAUCAGUUCUUCAUAUUAGAUAUUAACUAGUUCUUGAGAACAACACAUCCAGUCAACCCGUCUUGCUUUUAACCAUCUGUUUGGAC